AACGAACGCUGGCGGCAUGCCUAACACAUGCAAGUCGAACGAGACCUUCGGGUCUAGUGGCGCACGGGUGCGUAACGCGUGGGAACCUGCCCUUAGGUUCGGAAUAACUCCCCGACAGGGGUGCUAAUACCGGAUAAUGUCUUCGGCCCAAAGAUUUAUCGCCUUUGGAUGGGCCCGCGUUGGAUUAGCUAGUUGGUAGGGUAAAAGCCUACCAAGGCGACGAUCCAUAGCUGGUCUGUGAGGAUGAUCAGCCACACUGGGACUGAGACACGGCCCAGACUCCUACGGGAGGCAGCAGUGGGGAAUAUUGGACAAUGGGCGAAAGCCUGAUCCAGCAAUGCCGCGUGAGUGAUGAAGGCCUUAGGGUUGUAAAGCUCUUUUACCCGGGAUGAUAAUGACAGUACCGGGAGAAUAAGCUCCGGCUAACUCCGUG
RNAcentral lists this ribosomal RNA (433 nucleotides) under uncultured bacterium. RNAcentral's name for it is "partial 16S ribosomal RNA". It matches the Rfam family "Bacterial small subunit ribosomal RNA", at positions 29 to 507 of the family's 1533-position model. The record is from RNAcentral.